This 253-nucleotide ribosomal RNA is filed under the name uncultured prokaryote. RNAcentral's name for it is "partial 16S ribosomal RNA". It matches the Rfam family "Bacterial small subunit ribosomal RNA", at positions 524 to 776 of the family's 1533-position model. The record is from RNAcentral.
UACGUAGGUGGCAAGCGUUGUCCGGAUUUACUGGGCGUAAAGGGCAGGCAGGCGGAUCGUUAAGUAGAAAGUGAAAGGUCGGAGCUCAACUCCAACAUUGCUUUCUAUACUGGCGGUCUUGAGUCCCGGAGGGGAGAGCGGAACGACACGUGUAGCGGUGAAAUGCGUUGAUAUGUGUCGGAACACCAAUGGCGAAGGCAGCUCUCUGGACGGGUACUGACGCUCAUCUGCGAAAGCCGAGGUAGCGAACAGG